Molecule: ribosomal RNA, 515 nt
Filed under: uncultured bacterium
Lineage: Bacteria
Description: partial 16S ribosomal RNA
Rfam family: Bacterial small subunit ribosomal RNA
Source: RNAcentral
GAUGAACGCUGGCGGCGUGCCUAAUACAUGCAAGUCGAGCGAAUGGAUUAAGAGCUUGCUCUUAUGAAGUUAGCGGCGGACGGGUGAGUAACACGUGGGUAACCUGCCCAUAAGACUGGGAUAACUCCGGGAAACCGGGGCUAAUACCGGAUAACAUUUUGAACCGCAUGGUUCGAAAUUGAAAGGCGGCUUCGGCUGUCACUUAUGGAUGGACCCGCGUCGCAUUAGCUAGUUGGUGAGGUAACGGCUCACCAAGGCAACGAUGCGUAGCCGACCUGAGAGGGUGAUCGGCCACACUGGGACUGAGACACGGCCCAGACUCCUACGGGAGGCAGCAGUAAGGAAUCUUCCGCAAUGGACGAAAGUCUGACGGAGCAACGCCGCGUGAGUGAUGAAGGCUUUCGGGUCGUAAAACUCUGUUGUUAGGGAAGAACAAGUGCUAGCUGAAUAAGCUGGCACCUUGACGGUGCCUAACCAGAAAGCCACGGCUAACUACGUGCCAGCCGCCGCGGUAA